UGGAUCCAGCCUUUGAUCCUGGCUCAGGAUGAACGCUAGCUACAGGCUUAACACAUUGCAAGUCGAGGGGAAACGACAUCGAAAGCCUGCUUUUGAUGGGCGUCGACCGGCGCACGGGUGAGUAACGCGUAUCCAACCUGCCCAUCACUUGGGGAUAACCUUGCGAAAGUAAGACUAAUACCCAAUGACGUCUCUAGAAGACAUCUGAAAGAGAUUAAAGAUUUAUCGGUGAUGGAUGGGGAUGCGUCUGAUUAGCUUGUUGGCGGGGUAACGGCCCACCAAGGCAACGAUCAGUAGGGGUUCUGAGAGGAAGGUCCCCCACAUUGGAACUGAGACACGGUCCAAACUCCUACGGGAGGCAGCAGUGAGGAAUAUUGGUCAAUGGGCGAGAGCCUGAACCAGCCAAGUAGCGUGCAGGAUGACGGCCCUAUGGGUUGUAAACUGCUUUUAUAAGGGAAUAAAGUGAGUCUCGUGAGACUUUUUGCAUGUACCUUAUGAAUAAGGACCGGCUAAUUCCGUGCCAGCAGCCGCGGUAAUACGGAAGGUCCGGGCGUUAUCCGGAUUUAUUGGGUUUAAAGGGAGCGUAGGCCGGAGAUUAAGCGUGUUGUGAAAUGUAGACGCUCAACGUCUGCACUGCAGCGCGAACUGGUUUCCUUGAGUACGCACAAAGUGGGCGGAAUUCGUGGUGUAGCGGUGAAAUGCUUAGAUAUCACGAAGAACUCCGAUUGCGAAGGCAGCUCACUGGAGCGCAACUGACGCUGAAGCUCGAAAGUGCGGGUAUCGAACAGGAUUAGAUACCCUGGUAGUCCGCACGGUAAACGAUGGAUGCCCGCUGUUGGUCUGAAUAGGUCAGCGGCCAAGCGAAAGCAUUAAGCAUCCCACCUGGGGAGUACGCCGGCAACGGUGCAACUCAAAUGAAUUGACGGA
Molecule: ribosomal RNA, 927 nt
Filed under: uncultured bacterium
Lineage: Bacteria
Also listed under: 1 other name
Description: bacterial SSU rRNA
Rfam family: Bacterial small subunit ribosomal RNA
Source: RNAcentral